GCGGCGAGSGAAGCGGGAAGAGCCCAAUAUGAAAAGCCAGCUUGCUGGCGUUGUAGUUGAGCGUCUUUGGGGUGUCAGUUUGGGAAAGUGGCAUGAGAGUGCUCACCGGGGAGGGUGAAAGUCCCGUCCAUCCCAUUCAGGACACUUCGCACAAAGGCGUUUCAGAUGAGUCGGGUAGCUUGGGAAUGCUGCUCUAAUUGGUGGUAAAUCUCAUCAAAGGCUAAAUACUGGUGGGAGACCGAUAGCGAACAAGUACCGUGAGGGAAAGAUGAAAAGUACUUUGAAAAGAGGGUAAAAAGAACCUGAAACCGUUACGGGGGAAGCGGAUUGCGUUGGCCUGGUGGCUGCCUGUGUGUUCAGCCUGUUAUGGUGCAUUGAUACAGGUGGUUAUUCGUCGUGGCUUUUUGGUGGCUGAUAAUGAGCUGCUAAAGGGUGAGGGCUCCCCUUUAAUUUAGGGUGAGGACGACGGAGUGACGACGCGAUACGACCCGUCUUGAAACACGGACCAAGGAGUCUAGCGCAGGUGCGAGUCAAAGGGUGUUAAAACCUGUGGGCGUAGUGAAAGCGACUUUUGUAAAAACGAGCAGUUUGGGGCGGCAUAGAAUCGUUGAUUCUAGGUCUGACCUUGAGCAGUUGCGCUGGGACCCGAAAGAUGGUGAACUDUGCCGGAGUAGGGCGAAGCCAGAGGAAACUCUGGUGGAGGCUCGUAGCGGUGCUGACGUGCAAAUCGCUCGUCGAACUUGGGUAUAGGGGCGAAAGACUAAUCGAACCAUCUAGUAGCUGGUUUCCUCCGAAGUUUCUCUCAGGAUAGCAGGCCGACACUUUUACGUUGUUUUGUGCGGUAAAGCGAAUGAUUAGCGUAAUCGGGGGCGUUUAGCCUUUGGACGAUUCUCAAACUUUAAAUGCGCAAGGGUACCGGUGCUUUGUUGAGCGGUACCGUUAAAAA
RNAcentral lists this ribosomal RNA (946 nucleotides) under Phyllymenia belangeri. RNAcentral describes it as "Grateloupia belangeri partial large subunit ribosomal RNA". Lineage: Eukaryota; Rhodophyta; Florideophyceae; Halymeniales; Halymeniaceae. The record is from RNAcentral.